UUCAGCCUACGGGAGGCAGCAGUCGGGAAUAUUGCGCAAUGGAGGAAACUCUGACGCAGUGACGCCGCGUGCAGGAAGAAGGUUUUCGGAUUGUAAACUGCUUUAGAUAGGGAAGAAAAAAAAUGACAGUACCUAUAGAAUAAGCUCCGGCUAACUACGUGCCAGCAGCCGCGGUAAUACGUAGGGGGCAAGCGUUAUCCGGAUUUACUGGGUGUAAAGGGGGCGCAGACGGCAAUGCAAGCCAGGAGUGAAAGCCCGGGGCCCAACCCCGGGACUGCUCUUGGAACUGCAUGGCUGGAGUACAG
This 305-nucleotide ribosomal RNA is filed under the name uncultured bacterium. Its description in RNAcentral is "bacterial SSU rRNA". It matches the Rfam family "Bacterial small subunit ribosomal RNA", at positions 330 to 651 of the family's 1533-position model. The record is from RNAcentral.